ACUGGUGAGUAACACGUGGGAAACCUGCCCAGGAAGCGGGGGAUAACACCUGGAAACAUAUGCUAAUACCGCAUAACAACUUGGACCGCAUGGUCCGAGUUUGAAAGAUGGCUUCGGCUAUCACUUUUGGAUGGUCCCGCGGCGUAUUAACUACAUGGUGGGGUAACGGCUCACCAUAGGCAAUGAUACGUACCCGACCUGAGAGGGUAAUCGGCCACAUUGGGACUGAGACACGGCCCAAAACUCCUACGGGAGGCAGCAGUAGGGAAUCUUCCACAAUGGACGAAAGUCUGAUGGAGCAACGCCGCGUGAGUGAAGAAGAGGUUUCGGCUCGUAAAACUCUGUUGUUAAAGAAGAACAUAUCUGAGAGUAACUGUUCAGGUAUUGACGGUAUUUAACCGAGAAAGCCACGGACUAACUACGUGCCAGCAGCCGCGGUAAUACGUAGGUGGCAAGCGUUGUCCGGAUUUAUUGGGCGUAAAGCGAGCGCAGGCGGUUUUUUAAGGUCUGAUGUGAAAGCCUUCGGCUCAACCGAAGAAGUGCAUCGGAAACUGGGAAACUUGAGUGCAGAAGAGGGACAGUGGAACUCCAUGUGUAGCGGUGAAAUGCGUAUAUAUAUGGAASAACACCAGUGGCGAAGGCGGCUGUCUGGUUCUGUAACUGACGCUGAGGCUCGAAAGUGAUGGGUAGCAAACAGGAUUAGAUACCCUGGUAGUCCAUACCGUAAACGCAAUGAAUGCUAAGUGUUGGAGGGCGGUUUCCGCCCUUCAGUGCUGCAGCUAACGCAUUAAGCAUUCCGCCUGGGGAGUACGGCUCGCAAGGCUGAAACUCAAAGGAAUUGACGGGGGCCCGCACAAGCGGUGGAGCAUGUGGUUUAAUUCGAAGCUACGCGAAGAACCUUACCAGGUCUUGACAUACUUAUGCAAAUCUAAGAGGAUUAGACGUUGGCCCUUCGGGGACAUGGAUACAGAGUUGGUGCAUGGUUGUCGUCAGCUCGUGUCGUGAGAUGUUGGGUUAAGUCCCGCAACGAGCGCAACCCUUAUUAUCAGUUGCCAGCAUUAAGUUGGGCACUCUGGUGAGACUGCCGGUGACAAACCGGAGGAAGGUGGGGAUGACGUCAAAUCAUCAUGCCCCUUAUGACCUGGGCUACACACGUGACUACAAUGGAUGGUACAACGAGUUGCGAACUCGCGAGAGUAAGCUAAUCUCUUAAAGCCAUUCUCAGUUCGGAUUGUAGGCUGCAACUCGCCUACAUGAAGUCGGAAUCGCUAGUAAUCGCGGAUCAGCAUGCCGCGGUGAAUACGUUCCCGGGCCUUGUACACACCGCCCGUCACACCAUGAGAGUUUGUAACACCCAAAGUCGGUGGGGUAACCUUU
RNAcentral lists this ribosomal RNA (1377 nucleotides) under Lactiplantibacillus plantarum. RNAcentral's name for it is "bacterial SSU rRNA". It matches the Rfam family "Bacterial small subunit ribosomal RNA", at positions 102 to 1443 of the family's 1533-position model. Lineage: Bacteria; Bacillati; Bacillota; Bacilli; Lactobacillales; Lactobacillaceae. The record is from RNAcentral.